GGGUACUUGACUGAGUGGUUUAAGGUGUGGUAUUUGAGCUACCAAGGUUAGUAACCCACGUGUUCGAAUCACGUAGUAUCCG
RNAcentral lists this transfer RNA (82 nucleotides) under Candida maltosa. RNAcentral's name for it is "tRNA-Ser". It matches the Rfam family "tRNA". From Rfam's summary of the family: Transfer RNA (tRNA) molecules are approximately 80 nucleotides in length. RNAcentral also lists the same sequence under 1 other name. Lineage: Eukaryota; Fungi; Ascomycota; Pichiomycetes; Serinales; Debaryomycetaceae. The record is from RNAcentral.